UACGUAGGUGGCAAGCAUUGUCCGGAAUUAUUGGGCGUAAAGGGCGCGUAGGCGGUUCUUUAAGUCAGAUGUGAAAUCCCGAGGCUCAACCUCGGGCGUGCAUUUGAAACUGGGGGACUAGAGUGCAGGAGAGGUAAGUGGAAUUCCUAGUGUAGCGGUGAAAUGCGUAGAUAUUAGGAGGAACACCAGUGGCGAAGGCGACUUACUGGACUGUAACUGACGCUGAGGCGCGAAAGCGUGGGGAGCAAACAGG
This 253-nucleotide ribosomal RNA is filed under the name uncultured bacterium. Its description in RNAcentral is "partial 16S ribosomal RNA". It matches the Rfam family "Bacterial small subunit ribosomal RNA", at positions 524 to 776 of the family's 1533-position model. The record is from RNAcentral.